This 433-nucleotide ribosomal RNA is filed under the name uncultured cyanobacterium. RNAcentral's name for it is "bacterial SSU rRNA". It matches the Rfam family "Bacterial small subunit ribosomal RNA", at positions 28 to 505 of the family's 1533-position model. Lineage: Bacteria; Bacillati; Cyanobacteriota. The record is from RNAcentral.
GAUGAACGCUGGCGGUAUGCUUAACACAUGCAAGUCGAACGAACUCUUCGGAGUUAGUGGCGGACGGGUGAGUAACGCGUGAGAAUCUGCCUCUGGGUUCGGGACAACAGUUGGAAACGACUGCUAAUACCGGAUGUGCCUACGGGUGAAAGAUUUAUUGCCUAGAGAUGAGCUCGCGUUGGAUUAGCUAGUUGGUGUGGUAAGAGCGCACCAAGGCGACGAUCUAUAGCUGGUCUGAGAGGACGAUCAGCCACACUGGGACUGAGACACGGCCCAGACUCCUACGGGAGGCAGCAGUGGGGAAUUUUCCGCAAUGGGCGAAAGCCUGACGGAGCAAUACCGCGUGAGGGAGGAAGGCUCUUGGGUUGUAAACCUCUUUUCUCAAGGAAGAACACAAUGACGGUACUUGAGGAAUAAGCAUCGGCUAACUCCG